GGAGGAUCAUUAUCGUAGGGCUUCGGCCCUGUCGAGAUAGAACCCUUGCCUUUUUGAGUACCUUUCGUUUCCUCGGCAGGCUCGCCUGCCAAUGGGGACCACAAAAAACACUUUGCAGUACCUGUAACAGUCUGAACAAACAAAACAAAAAUUAAAACUUUCAACAACGGAUCUCUUGGUUCUGGCAUCGAUGAAGAACGCAGCGAAAUGCGAUAAGUAGUGUGAAUUGCAGAAUUCAGUGAAUCAUCGAAUCUUUGAACGCACAUUGCGCCCUUUGGUAUUCCUUAGGGCAUGCCUGUUCGAGCGUCAUUUAAACCUUCAAGCUAAGCUUGGUGUUGGGUGACUGUCCGCUUCACUGCGGACUCGCCUCAAAAUUAUUGGCGGCCGGUACAUUGGCUUCGAGCGCAGCAGAAACGCGAACUCGGGCCCGUCGUAUUGGCUCCCAGAAGCUAUCUUCACAAUUUUGACCUCGGAUCAGGUAGGGAUACCCGCCGAACUUAAGCAUAUCAAUAAGCGGAGGA
RNAcentral lists this ribosomal RNA (521 nucleotides) under uncultured Pleosporales. Its description in RNAcentral is "eukaryotic LSU rRNA". The stretch from base 156 to 309 matches the Rfam family "5.8S ribosomal RNA". Lineage: Eukaryota; Fungi; Ascomycota; Dothideomycetes; Pleosporales. The record is from RNAcentral.